UACGUAGGGUGCAAGCGUUAAUCGGAAUUACUGGGCGUAAAGCGUGCGCAGGCGGCUUUGCAAGACAGAUGUGAAAUCCCCGGGCUUAACCUGGGAACUGCAUUUGUGACUGCAUGGCCAGAGUGCGGCAGAGGGGGAUGGAAUUCCGCGUGUAGCAGUGAAAUGCGUAGAUAUGCGGAGGAACACCGAUGGCGAAGGCGGCCCCCUGGUUGGAUACUGACGCUGAGACGCGAAAGCGUGGGGAGCAAACAGG
Molecule: ribosomal RNA, 253 nt
Filed under: uncultured bacterium
Lineage: Bacteria
Description: partial 16S ribosomal RNA
Rfam family: Bacterial small subunit ribosomal RNA
Source: RNAcentral